AUAACCCUGCUGUGUGCGUGAAAGGCCGUUGUUUUGAUCCAACACAGAUACUUUGGGAGUCCGGGCUCUGGCUAUGGCGUGUAAGCCCUGUGAACUAGGGGACACAUAAAGUAGACGGGAGGACACCCACCUGCCGAGGGCAGGUUCAAAACACCGGUAAACGGCAUGGUGGGGCUUAU
This 179-nucleotide non-coding RNA is filed under the name Negativicutes bacterium. RNAcentral's name for it is "6S RNA". It matches the Rfam family "6S / SsrS RNA". From Rfam's summary of the family: E. coli 6S RNA was the first non coding RNA to be sequenced, but its function was unknown until recently. It consists of 184 nucleotides that fold into an extended hairpin structure with a large single-stranded internal bulge. The 6S RNA specifically associates with RNA polymerase holoenzyme containing the sigma70 specificity factor. Lineage: Bacteria; Bacillati; Bacillota; Negativicutes. The record is from RNAcentral.